UACAGAGGUCCCAAGCGUUGUUCGGAAUUACUGGGCGUAAAGCGUGCGCAGGCGGUGAUGUAAGACAGAUGUGAAAUCCCCGGGCUCAACCUGGGACCUGCAUUUGUGACUGCAUCGCUGGAGUACGGUAGAGGGGGAUGGAAUUCCGCGUGUAGCAGUGAAAUGCGUAGAUAUGCGGAGGAACACCGAUGGCGAAGGCAAUCCCCUGGACCUGUACUGACGCUCAUGCACGAAAGCGUGGGGAGCAAACAGG
Molecule: ribosomal RNA, 253 nt
Filed under: uncultured bacterium
Lineage: Bacteria
Description: partial 16S ribosomal RNA
Rfam family: Bacterial small subunit ribosomal RNA
Source: RNAcentral